UCCGUAAUGGUCUAGUGGCUAGGAUUUGUCGCUCUCAUCACUUUGAAAGAUCCGACAAGGCCGGGGUUCAAUUCCCCGUUACGGAA
This is a non-coding RNA of Saccharata proteae CBS 121410, 86 nucleotides long. Lineage: Eukaryota; Fungi; Ascomycota; Dothideomycetes; Botryosphaeriales; Saccharataceae. The record is from the annotation of a GenBank genome assembly.